Molecule: RNA transcript, 8155 nt
Organism: Columba livia (rock pigeon)
Lineage: Eukaryota; Metazoa; Chordata; Aves; Columbiformes; Columbidae
Gene: IPO13
Gene name: importin 13
Exons: 18
Source: RefSeq, a predicted model, not a curated record
GCCCGUCCGCGCCUGCGGGGCAGCGGGGCGAGGCGCUGCCGGAGCGGAGCGGGGCAGCAGUGCCUCUCGGGGCGUCCCCGGGGCGCGUCCCGACCCGACCGCCGCUGCCCGCCGCGCCGAGCCGAGCUGUGCCGCCCCGGUGCCGCCGCCCUCGUCGGGGCGGGGAGGCGGGUCCCGCCGCGAUGCGGCUGCCCGUGCGCCGCCGCUGUCGCCCGCCCGCCACCGCCUCCUGAGCGCCGCCGCAGCCAUGGAGCGGAGGGCGGAGGCGCCGCCGCCGCCGCAGGGCCUCGACUUCACCGUGGAGAACGUGGAGAAGGCUCUCCAUCAGCUGUAUUAUGACCCAAACAUCGAGAACAAGAACUUGGCUCAGAAAUGGCUGAUGCAGGCACAGGUGUCCCCCCAGGCAUGGCACUUCAGCUGGCUGCUGCUCAACAUGGACAAAGUGCCUGAGAUCCAGUACUUUGGCGCCAGCGCUCUCCACAUUAAAAUCUCCCGUUACUGGAACGACAUCCCAGCCGACCAGUAUGAGAGCCUCAAGUCACAGCUCUUCACCCACAUCACCCGUUUCGCCAGUGGCUCCAAGAUCGUGCUGACCCGCCUCUGCGUGGCGCUGGCCUCCCUGGCCCUCAGCAUGAUGCCGGAGGCUUGGCCCUGCGCCGUGGCAGACAUGGUGCGCAUGUUCCAGGCAGAGGACUCCAACGUGGACGGGCGAGCGCGGUGCCUGGCGCUGCUGGAGCUGCUGACGGUGUUGCCGGAGGAGUUUCAGACCAGCCGCCUGCCACAGUACCGCAAGGGCCAGGUCCGCAGUGUCCUGGCGCAGGAGUGCGGCUCCGUCUUCCCUUUGCUGGAGCAGCUGCUGCAGCAGCAGGACUCCCCGGGUUUCAUCAAGCAGAAGGUGUUGAAGUGCUUCUCCAGCUGGGUGCAGCUGGAGAUCCCGCUGAUGGACUGUGAGAACCUGAUCCAGGCAGCUUUCACCUCUCUGCAGGACCCAGAGCUCUUCGACACAGCGGUGGAGGCUGUCGUCAAUGCCAUUUCCCAGCCCGAUGCACAGAGGUACGUGAACACCCUCCUGAAGCUCAUCCCCUCUGUGUUGGGGCUCCAAGAGCAGCUGCGCCAGGCGGUCCAGAGCGGGGACAUGGAGACGUCACACGGGAUCUGCCGGAUUGCUGUGGCCUUGGGGGAGAAUCACUCCCGGGCCCUUCUUGACCAGGUGGAGCACUGGCAGAGCUUCCUGGCCCUGGUCAACAUGAUCAUGUUCUGCACCGGCAUCCCCGGGCACUACCCUGUCAAUGAAACCACCAGCUCCUUGACGCUCACCUUCUGGUACACACUGCAGGACGACAUCCUCUCCUUCGAGCCGGACAAGCAGGCAGUGUACCAGCAGGUCUACAGGCCUGUCUACUUCCAGCUGGUGGACGUGCUGCUGCACAAAGCCCAGUUCCCCUCCGAUGAGGAGUAUGGCUUCUGGUCUUCAGAUGAGAAGGAGCAAUUUCGGAUAUACAGGGUGGACAUCUCUGACACGCUGAUGUACGUGUAUGAGAUGCUGGGCGCAGAGCUCCUGAGCAGCCUCUAUGACAAACUGGGACGUCUCCUGACCAACACGGAACAGCCAUCCACAUGGCAGCACACGGAGGCCUUGCUCUACGGCUUCCAGUCCAUCGCUGAGACCAUCGACGUGAACUACUCUGAUGUGGUGCCAGGGCUGAUCGGCCUCAUUCCCCGGAUCAGCAUCAGCAACGUGCAGCUUGCCGACACCGUGAUGUUCACUAUUGGGGCCCUGUCAGAGUGGCUGGCUGAUCACCCCGUCAUGAUUAACAACGUGCUGCCGCUGGUGCUCCAAGCCUUGGGCAACCCUGAGCUCUCCAUCUCCAGUGUCUCCACACUGAAGAAGAUCUGCCGGGAGUGCAAGUACGACUUGCCACCCUAUGCUGCCAACAUCGUUGCCGUAUCACAGGAAGUGUUGAUGAAGCAGAUUCACAAGACGAGCCAGUGCAUGUGGCUGAUGCAGGCUCUUGGUUUCCUGCUCUCUGCGCUGCAAGUGGAGGAGAUCCUGAAAAACCUGCACUCCCUGAUCACCCCCUACAUCCAGCAGCUGGAAAAGCUGGCUGAUGAAACGCCCAAUCCCUCCAACAAGCUGGCCAUCAUCCACAUCCUGGGCUUGCUCUCCAACCUCUUCACCACCCUAGACAUCAGCCACCAUGAUGAUGACCACGAAAGCACUGAGGUCAAGAAACUGCCAGUGCAGCAAGGACCCAACCCAGUGGUGGUGGUUCUGCAGCAAGUCUUCCAGCUCAUACAGAAGGUCCUCAGCAAGUGGCUGAAUGAUGCCCAAGUGGUGGAGUCUGUCUGUGCCAUCUUUGAGAAAUCUGUGAAGACCCUCCUGGAUGAUUUUGCCCCCAUGGUGCCUCAGCUGUGCGAGAUGCUGGGGCAGAUGUACAGCACCAUUCCCCAGGCCUCUGCCAUCGACCUCACCCGGCAGCUGGUUCACAUUUUUGCCCAUGAGCCUGCCCACUUCCCUCCUAUCAAGGCCCUCUUCCUGCUCGUUACCUCAGUCACGCUGACCCUCUUCCAGCAAGGGCCCAGGGAUCAUCCUGAUAUUGUUGAUUCAUUUAUGCAACUCCUGGCACAGUUGAAUAUCGAGUUUCUCCAUCUGUUUCCGUGGAAGUUGAAAACAAAACAUUCUCCUUUAGUUCUGGGUUUGCACCAUCCCCAGGGCAGUGCCCACCUCUGCAGGGCAGCCUCCAGCUGCCACCCCCUUGCCAUGCCGAAGCUGCUGCAGGGCACUUGGCGCUGCUGCCACAGUCACCCUCGCGUGACAAACUAGAGCAUUAAGUGGAUGUUUUCUGACCCAUUUACCUGCCCUGUGACGAGUCCUCUGGAGCAGGGAUGGGCUGAGCUGGCUGCCUUGCUCCGGGGCCAGUGGGAGGAAGCCGGUGCCCAUGGUAGCAAGCAGCUGCUGGGGUUUGGCUCUGAGAAUGUGCUUGUGGCGGUGUGUGGACCUGCCAUGGUGCCACGCUGCCGCCCGCUCCAACAGCCUCCGGGGGUGGUGGCAGCUCCUGCAGCCCAGGAGCAUUCCUGUGCCGCCGGCUCGGUGCUGUGCGGGGAUGGUUUGCGUUGGCACGGCGGGGACUGCGGGCUGGCUGGUUGGUCUGGCAUUGGUGUCACCGCUGGCGGUGGGCAGGCAGUGCCGUGUGUGUAUAUACACUUGUUGGGAGCAGGGGGAGCGCAGCAUGCUCCUCAGCCCAUGAGGGAGAAGCCCUGAUGUCCUUGAUGCUCAGUGCCCCUGUUGGAGACGUGUCCCCCAGCACCUACCCAGAGGGUGCGUCAGUGGCGAGGAGGGGCCUGGCAGAGUUGCUUUCUGCUUCGCUUUUGUAAUGGUGAGACUUCUGACCAUGCGUGCUGCAGUGGCUGUGCAGGAGCACCCAGCCGGGCACUGCCAGAGCUGUGGCCAUCCUGCCCUUGCUGGCAGCCCAGGAAGAGUGCCUGGCAUGGCCGGGUGCUGAGCCCUCAGCCCCCUCCCACAGCUGCUCAGCCCACAUGUGGGUCUUGCGGGACGGAGCAGGCAGGGGGGUUGCACCUCAGCCCCCCAGGCACGGAGUGUUACUUGUGGGUCUCACCUUGAUGCCCAGACCCUGCUGAGGCCCAUUGCAUCUCACAAGACAUUGUAGCAUUUUCCUCCUUGCUUUUCAUCCUGAAAGGAAUAACAUAAUCAAGGUUAUCAGAAAGCAUUCACAGCUUUUGCCAGUGCUGGUUUUGGAGGCUGUGACCAUUUAACAGGGGUUUUGAACAUGAUGGGAGGAUCGGUGAAUGGGGUCUGUGCUUGAGGUUCCUGGAGGUGUCCUUCCCAGCCACUCAGUGCUGGGGAGACCUCUUCUUAAGCACUGUGCCCAGGUUGGGGCUCAUUUCUGUAGAUAUAGACCAGAGAGCACAGAGAAAAGCAUCUGGGAACGUGACCACUGUUAGGGAAUAAACUGCCUUAGCCUGGGUCUCUGCUACAGGACACCUAGGGAGAAGGAACUUCCCUAGCACCACCUUGUAGACAUGGAGAGGAGGAAGGGCUGAUAGGAGCCUGAGGAGCUGCAUGUCUUAGAGUAUGUAAAAGGUAAUGUCCCAGUCAUAGGUGAAAACCCCUUUUCUGCUCUUCUUGAGUGGGACAAACAGUAACGGGAGAAAAUCAUGGAAAAGGAUGCAUGUCAGGCAGCAGGAGAUCCUUCUAAGAGUGUGGGAAAGCACUGGAAGGUCACUUGGGAAGCUGCUGUCACUUGGAGGGCUUGAAAGGACUCAAGAAGCCUGUUGUUCUUGGAGGGCAGGUAGAGGUGAUUCUGCUGUGGAGCAGGGCAUUAGGUGACCCUGAGAGACUCUUCCAAGGCUAUUUUAUUGUUUCUUUGGAAAGUGCUGUGUUUCUCUCUGGCUCGGGUUCCUUCUCUGUGUCUGGACAUGGCACAUUUGUGCUUUCUUGAAGAGAAAGGUGCGACAACCAUGCUGUACUUCCACGGGGUGUGCUGCGAGAGCAACCACCACCCAUCCCGGCUGCUGGAAGCGGUUACACGCUGCCCUCACGGGCAGGAUCUGCAGGCAGUGCAGGGGCAGCGUACAGGCAGUUGGCCCGGUCUCCAGCGUACAGAUCUCCGGACAGCCUGCAUCCUUCAGAGGCCCUGCUGCAGGAACAGCUCAGAGGCUCCUGCCUACAUGGCUGCUCCAUCUUGAAUCACUGCAAGACAUCUGACUUCAUGCUUCCAGCCCACCACCACUCAAGACCUGAUGGUUUCCUGGGCUUUUUAUUCCAGCAACCCCAUGGAGACCAAAGGAUCCCAUCCACAUCCUCUCUCCUCAUGUGCAGGACUUGUUUCAAGGUUUCCUUGACUUCCUUGGCUGCCUCUCUUCCCAGACUGAUGGUCUGGUGGGGUGCUUUGAAACCCAUCAAGAAAUGGCCUUGCCGUUCCUGCUUGCCUCCUUGCUCUCAGGACUUCAAGAGCUGUCUAAAGGCAGAGGUAGGUCCAGCCUGCCCUCUUCCAGAAGACCACGCUCUGCAGUGAUGCUCUUGAGCAUCUGUAAUCCAAGGAUUAAAGUUGGAGAGAAGCGUGGAUCUCUUCAGAUCCAGUUUACAUGUGGGGGAGGCUGUGUUUUCAUGCUAGUCUGCUUCACCUGCAGACCCGUUGACAAAGUAACGCAUCUUCCAGAGCAGCAGCAAGUUUGGACCCAAGAGUGUGUCAGGGUAGAGACUUUCUAAUUUUCCUGAUCAUCUGCUCUUGUGGUUGAUCACCUUGCUGGAAAUAUCAUCUUCCCUGUUUCAAAUUUGUCUACCAGCAAGUAUUCUCCUACCUUCUGAUAACUCAGAAGAAGCUUCUACCUCCUGAAACCUGCACAUCAGCCCUCUGUCACAGGGAGCCAUCUCUGCAUGGCAGGACUUCAGUAACUUUACAGUAUAUUUAUUUGCGCUUGAUUGCAGCCCAUGGGAUGGCCCUGUUGGUGCAGCUGAUCAUCCUGCCACCACGUUAAUUGGCAAUCCACUCUUGAUGGUGGUCGACUGAUCAUGAGAGCAUGCUGGCUUAAACCAAAUGUCUUACAGAUGCUAGAGACCCUGGAGUAGUUGUUACUACUCAAAGCGAAGUAUAAAAUAACCACUCUGCCGCGGCAGCUGGGGCUUCUACCCAGGUCUGCGUCUGCAAACCCAGGCAGGACUUCCUGGUGCUUGGGAGCUCUCGCCAGCUCCCUGGCCGGUGGGUAUCACCCGUGUGCGUGCUCCCAGUUGCAGGUAGGCUUUCGGGGCUCUCCAACCUGUCUCUCCAGCAGCAGUUGCAGGCACAUCCACUCAUCCCUCAGGGCUCCAUGCCAUAGUGGACUUCGGGAGUGCUGCAGUGACCUCCCCUGACAGAGAGCCAAGGUGCAAGCUGGGCAAGUGGGGCGAUGCCAGCCAGAAGACACAGGACUGUCCUUUAUGAUGGCCCAGCAGAGGAUGUGGGGGAGGGAUGUUUGAAAGCAUAUAAAGACCUGUCCUCAUUCCAGAAGAUGUGAGCAGAGCUGUUCUGGCAAGAGACAGGGAGGACAGGCUGAUAGUAAGAGGCUCCAGAGCUGGAGCAGAGUUCCUGGUCCUGGGAAAGAGCAGCUGGCCCUACCUGAUGUCACUUGCUAGUGGGGUAAGCUCCACAGGGCCCCAUCUCACAGGGACAGAAAGCAUCUGUCUACAUUAGGUGUGUGCAUGUGUGGCCAGAUUGAGCUUGUGCUCUGCACGCCCUUGGUAGAGGUGUCCUACAGGAAGCAGCCCUCCUAAUAUUGGCACACUUUCCACCACUGGUGGAGUGAGAAGCAGAUGCUGCAGCGAGCCUGUAGGAGAGCGUGGGGGGCUCUGCCUGUCACAGGUCUGGGUUGGUGGGGAGAAGCAUCCUGCAGGUAGGUGUCAACCUGAGCGUGUUGGAAGACUCUUGUUCCAGCUGAACAAUCUUGCAGCGUGCAGAACUCGGGUUAAAACAAGCCCCUUGGACAGGCAGGGCAGAGGAACCUGCAGCUGGGUGGUAUGACGGGAGCCAGCUGCCCAGGAGCAGCAUCCUGCUGGGGGAGAGGCUCGUGGUCACCUCUCUGGAGCCCCCACCAGGGCCCCAGUGCGGGUACUCUCCUGUGGCUAAAACCGCAACAUCUCUUGCAAGCGUUUGUCCAGUAUGAGGCCAACUAGAUGGCAGCAGCCAUGAGCGGAUGUGUUUCUAAACCAUUGCCCAGCUCCUAGCUUGCCUUCUGAUGUUGGUGUUAGUGCAUCAGGAGGGGGUGCACGUGGUCUGUAUGUACACACACGGGUAGAAUGUGGCCCCUGGUCACCCCUGUGAUGGUCUCUGCUUGUGUCUAGCAGGGAAGCAGGUCCCUGCAAUUGUGCCACCUCUGCCUGGUACAGCAAUGCCUUUGGUGCCCAAACCUGACUCCUCCCUUGAAUGUGAUACAAAGGGUCGGAAAGGAGAUGGAAGUAACCAUGAAACAUUGCUUCUUGGCUUUUUGGUCUCCAGCAUACGUUCUCUGCACUGGGCAGAUGGUCGUGGGCUCUCCCUGGAGAAGAAGGAGUGGGAAAUAAGUCUGUUUUGGUGCAAGUAGAGACCAUGGCUGUGGGAGCUGGCCAUGUGUUGGGGGCACUACUGGCUGAAAGCUGUCCCUGCUUUCACUGUGGAAGCAGGCUUGGAGGGAGGCAGUGGCCCAGCACACAGCCUGAGGGCUGCCUGCCUUGGGAUGCUGCUCUCCGAGCUCCAGGCACAGAGUGGGGCCACUCCAGUGCUGUGGCUGCUGUCCCCUGUGUCACAGUGACAGCAGGGCAGAAGGCAUGGCCACCAUGCCUAGUGCUGGCCCAUAGCAGUGGGCAUGGUGAUCAGGGCAUGGAUGUGGCCACCUUAUAUAGCAGGGCUCGCUGUGACAGUGCAGAAACCCUUCCUGUGGAGUGAAAAGUACAGGCUGGAACAUCUCCACCCAGUAACUGCCAAGUGCCGGCACAAGAAGGGACUGAACCAUUGCACAGGGUGCCACAGCUCUGGGUGUUCCCAGCGGCACUGCCUGAACCCUGCAGUGGCUGGUGGGAUCGCUGUGUGGCGGAAAACCCCCAAGCUUUUCUGAUCUCAUACUGGUUGCUCAGGAGUUGUCAAGCAAUGUUGGCAUCUCAUUGUCUUCUCUGCCCUGGAGCCCAAGCAGAGCAAGCUGCUGGUCUAGUCUGGGGUUACUGCUGGAACCAGUUGCUGUGACCUCAGGGACACCAGCAUCUUUGAGAGGAGCGAAGCACAGAGGUGCUUGGUCUCUGAUGGGCUCUACAUGGCUGCCCUUGUCCCUGAGCGCUGCCACCUCCUGGCCUGCUCUGGUGAGACAGGAGCCCUCUGUCCUAUCUGUAUGUCCGAAUUGUCUGUGUGUGCAUCACCUGGCAUCUGUCCUCAGGUCCUGGGGUCGAUGGUUCCCGAGUCUAGCAAACUGCCUGGCUGUUUGAUUGGCGUUUUCCUGGGGGGGUGGAAAGCGAUGGUUUCCUGCUGUACUGUGUGAAUCUGCUGUUUACUGCGGGUGUGCCCAGGCUCUGAAAAGGAAGCCGGACCUCUUCCUGUGUAGCAACCUGGAUGUCAAAGCAGUGUUUCAGUGUGGUGUCCUUUCGCUCAAGUUCCCUGAGGCCCCAACUGUCAAAGCAUCCUGUGGCUUUUUU